This 73-nucleotide transfer RNA is filed under the name Trichonephila inaurata madagascariensis. Its description in RNAcentral is "tRNA-Phe". It matches the Rfam family "tRNA". Rfam says of the family: Transfer RNA (tRNA) molecules are approximately 80 nucleotides in length. Their secondary structure includes four short double-helical elements and three loops (D, anti-codon, and T loops). The record is from RNAcentral. Lineage: Eukaryota; Metazoa; Arthropoda; Arachnida; Araneae; Nephilidae.
GCCACGAAAUAGCUCAGUUGGGAGAACGUUAGACUGAAGAUCUAAAGGUCCCUGGUUCAUUCGGGUUUCGGCA